This 305-nucleotide ribosomal RNA is filed under the name uncultured bacterium. Its description in RNAcentral is "bacterial SSU rRNA". It matches the Rfam family "Bacterial small subunit ribosomal RNA", at positions 335 to 638 of the family's 1533-position model. The record is from RNAcentral.
UUUCCUACGGGGGGCAGCAGUGAGGAAUAUUGGUCAAUGGCCGCAGGGCUGAACCAGCCAAGUCGCGUGAGGGAUGACGGUCCUAUGGAUUGUAAACCUCUUUUGUCAGGGAGCAAAGGGCGCCACGUGUGGCGUUUUGCGAGUACCUGAAGAAAAAGCAUCGGCUAACUCCGUGCCAGCAGCCGCGGUAAUACGGAGGAUGCGAGCGUUAUCCGGAUUUAUUGGGUUUAAAGGGUGCGCAGGCGGAAGAUCAAGUCAGCGGUAAAAUUGAGCGGCUCAACCUCUUCGAGCCGUUGAAACUGGUU